This is a small nuclear RNA of Ailuropoda melanoleuca (giant panda), 107 nucleotides long. Lineage: Eukaryota; Metazoa; Chordata; Mammalia; Carnivora; Ursidae. The record is from Ensembl.
GUGAUGGCCUCAGCAACACAUAUACUAAAAGUGGAAUGUUACAGAGAAGAUUAGCAUGGGCCCUGCACAAGGAUGACAUGCAAAUUCAUGAAGCAUUCCAUAUUUAA